Molecule: ribosomal RNA, 547 nt
Filed under: Bifidobacterium bifidum
Lineage: Bacteria; Bacillati; Actinomycetota; Actinomycetes; Bifidobacteriales; Bifidobacteriaceae
Description: bacterial SSU rRNA
Rfam family: Bacterial small subunit ribosomal RNA
Source: RNAcentral
UCUCCUGGAAAACGGGUGGUAAUGCCGGAUGUUCCACAUGAUCGCAUGUGAUUGUGGGAAAGAUUUCAUCGGCGUGGGAUGGGGUCGCGUCCUAUCAGCUUGUUGGUGAGGUAACGGCUCACCAAGGCUUCGACGGGUAGCCGGCCUGAGAGGGCGACCGGCCACAUUGGGACUGAGAUACGGCCCAGACUCCUACGGGAGGCAGCAGUGGGGAAUAUUGCACAAUGGGCGCAAGCCUGAUGCAGCGACGCCGCGUGAGGGAUGGAGGCCUUCGGGUUGUAAACCUCUUUUGUUUGGGAGCAAGCCUUCGGGUGAGUGUACCUUUCGAAUAAGCGCCGGCUAACUACGUGCCAGCAGCCGCGGUAAUACGUAGGGCGCAAGCGUUAUCCGGAUUUAUUGGGCGUAAAGGGCUCGUAGGCGGCUCGUCGCGUCCGGUGUGAAAGUCCAUCGCUUAACGGUGGAUCUGCGCCGGGUACGGGCGGGCUGGAGUGCGGUAGGGGAGACUGGAAUUCCCGGUGUAACGGUGGAAUGUGUAGAUAUCGGAAAA